CAAUAUAUCUCUUUUUUCUUCAUUUGUUGAGAAUAUCAAAAUCCCUAAAUUGAAGAACUAGUUCCGCGACAGCUGAGUACCAUUUGCUGAAAAAUGAGGCUUGUGGUUUGUUUAUUUGGGAAGAGAAAUUACUCAUUGUUAAUGAAAGAAAAUCAACUCACGAUGAUUGCAACGUGUGAAGUGAAGAAGCCUAUUUUGAAGAAAUUUGGGACUAAAUUUGGAAAAGAAUAUAUGGGUCAAAGAAGAUUAACAAAAUAAAGAAGUUGACAAGUGAAAGUAAUUUGGGAAUGAUUUUGGAAAAAAAGAAAUGGGUCAGAGAUUGAACAAAUUUGGGAUUAUUUUUAGUGUAGUUUACAAGCCAAUGUAACUUGUUUCAAUCCAAUGUAACUUGUUACUUAUUCAAUGAAUAUUAUGAAUUCUUUUCAAUCCAA
Long non-coding RNA from Vicia villosa (hairy vetch), 431 nucleotides. RefSeq lists it as uncharacterized. The transcript has 2 exons. The record is from RefSeq and is a predicted model, not a curated record. NCBI's taxonomy places the organism in Eukaryota, Viridiplantae, Streptophyta, Magnoliopsida, Fabales, Fabaceae.